Molecule: transfer RNA, 66 nt
Filed under: Desmophyllum pertusum
Lineage: Eukaryota; Metazoa; Cnidaria; Anthozoa; Scleractinia; Caryophylliidae
Description: tRNA-Thr
Source: RNAcentral
GUAGCCUCAGUGGUAGAGCAUCUGACCAGUGUGUGGAAGGUCAUAGGUUCGACUCCUGUUGGUCCG